CAGUCGCCGCGGUAAUACGAAGGGUGCAAGCGUUAAUCGGAGUUACUGGGCGUAAAGCGUGCGUAGGCGGUGAGUUAAGUCUGCUGUGAAAUCCCCGGGCUCAACCUGGGAAUGGCAGUGGAUACUGGCUCGCUAGAGUGUGUCAUAGGAUGGUGGAAUUUCCGGUGUAGCGGUGAAAUGCGUAGAGAUCGGGAGGAACAUCAGUGGCGAAGGCGGCCAUCUGGGACAACACUGACGCUGAGGCACGAAAGCGUGGGGAGCAAACAGGAUUAGAUACCCCGGUAGUCCCUGUCUCUUAUAC
Molecule: ribosomal RNA, 301 nt
Filed under: uncultured bacterium
Lineage: Bacteria
Description: partial 16S ribosomal RNA
Rfam family: Bacterial small subunit ribosomal RNA
Source: RNAcentral